UACGUAGGUGGCAAGCGUUGUCCGGAAUUAUUGGGCGUAAAGCGCGCGCAGGUGGUUUCUUAAGUCUGAUGUGAAAGCCCACGGCUCAACCGUGGAGGGUCAUUGGAAACUGGGAGACUUGAGUGCAGAAGAGGAUAGUGGAAUUCCAAGUGUAGCGGUGAAAUGCGUAGAGAUUUGGAGGAACACCGGUGGCGAAAGCGGCUCUCUGGACUGUCACUGACACUGAGGCUCGAAAGCGUGGGUAGCAAACAGG
This 253-nucleotide ribosomal RNA is filed under the name uncultured microorganism. RNAcentral describes it as "partial 16S ribosomal RNA". It matches the Rfam family "Bacterial small subunit ribosomal RNA", at positions 524 to 776 of the family's 1533-position model. The record is from RNAcentral.